RNAcentral lists this ribosomal RNA (460 nucleotides) under uncultured bacterium. Its description in RNAcentral is "partial 16S ribosomal RNA". It matches the Rfam family "Bacterial small subunit ribosomal RNA", at positions 338 to 795 of the family's 1533-position model. The record is from RNAcentral.
CCUACGGGUGGCAGCAGUGAGGAAUAUUGGUCAAUGGGCGCGAGCCUGAACCAGCCAAGUAGCGUGAAGGAUGACUGCCCUACGGGUUGUAAACUUCUUUUAUAAAGGAAUAAAGUGAGGCACGUGCGCCUUUUUGUAUGUACUUUAUGAAUAAGGAUCGGCUAACUCCGUGCCAGCAGCCGCGGUAAUAUGGAGGAUCCGAGCGUUAUCCGGAUUUAUUGGGUGUAAAGGGAGCGUAGAUGGGUUGUUAAGUCAGUUGUGAAAGUUUGCGGCUCAACCGUAAAAUUGCAAUUGAUACUGGCAGUCUUGAGUACAGUUGAGGUAGGCGGAAUUCGUGGUGUAGCGGUGAAAUGCGUAGAUAUCACGAAGAACACCGAUGGCGGAGGCAGCUUACUAGACUGCCACUGACAUUGAUGCUCGAAAGCGUGGGGAGCAAACAGGAUUAGAUACCCGUGUAGUC